GACGAACGCUGGCGGCGUGCCUAAUACAUGCAAGUCGAACGCAUCCCGCUGAUUGAAGUGCUUGCACUGAUUUUCGGCAUUGGAUGAGUGGCGAACUGGUGAGUAACACGUGGGUAACCUGCCCGGAAGCAGGGGAUAACACUUGGAAACAGGUGCUAAUACCGUAUAACAACUGAAACCGCAUGGUUUCAGUUUGAAAGAUGGUUUCGGCUAUCACUUCUGGAUGGACCCGCGGCGUAUUAGCUAGUUGGUGGAGUAAUGGUUCACCAAGGCAAUGAUACGUAGCCGACCUGAGAGGGUAAUCGGCCACAUUGGGACUGAGACACGGCCCAAACUCCUACGGGAGGCAGCAGUAGGGAAUCUUCCACAAUGGACGAAAGUCUGAUGGAGCAACGCCGCGUGAGUGAAGAAGGGUUUCGGCUCGUAAAACUCUGUUGUUGAAGAAGAACACAUCUGAGAGUAACUGUUCAGGUGUUGACGGUAUUUAACCAGAAAGCCACGGCUAACUACGUGCCAGCAGCCGCGGUAAUACGUAGGUGGCAAGCGUUGUCCGGAUUUAUUGGGCGUAAAGCGAGCGCAGGCGGUUUCUUAAGUCUGAUGUGAAAGCCUUCGGCUUAACCGGAGAAGUGCAUCGGAAACUGGGAGACUUGAGUGCAG
RNAcentral lists this ribosomal RNA (657 nucleotides) under uncultured Lactobacillus sp. Its description in RNAcentral is "bacterial SSU rRNA". It matches the Rfam family "Bacterial small subunit ribosomal RNA", at positions 28 to 651 of the family's 1533-position model. The record is from RNAcentral. Lineage: Bacteria; Bacillati; Bacillota; Bacilli; Lactobacillales; Lactobacillaceae.